AAUCUCAAGCUUCUAGAAAUUUGGCACACUCACCAAAGAACUGAAUACUCCUUUGCAGUCAGACCAUGUGUUCCAGACAACAUAACUAGAAAGAUGUGAGAAGGCACUUCAUGUGGGAGAUAAGCCUUGUUUUACUUAAUACACUGAGAUGUCAGAGUUAAUUGUUACAGCAGCAGCCUGUUGUAUAGGCUGACUAACACAUGGUAACUAACAGAACACUUUGGAUUCUUGACAAAAUAAGAGCAAGAAAGCAUCAGCAGAAGCAGAAUUCAGAGGGCGAGAAACCAAAAGCAACAGAGCAAGAUCUACUCUCUACACAUCGACAUCCUGCUCUCUUCCAGGGAGAGUAACCUACAUGAACCAUACCAGUGGUUCCCAUCCAGGACAGUUCCCACUCACCUCCCCAGGGACAUUUAGAAAUAUCUAGAGACAUUUUUGCAUAUCACAAAAUGCAAAAAAAAAAAAAUGUACCCUGCAAAGCCACAAGAGCAGAGCAGACCAA
Molecule: long non-coding RNA, 502 nt
Filed under: Pan troglodytes (chimpanzee)
Lineage: Eukaryota; Metazoa; Chordata; Mammalia; Primates; Hominidae
Description: lincRNA
Source: RNAcentral